This 208-nucleotide ribosomal RNA is filed under the name uncultured bacterium. RNAcentral describes it as "partial 16S ribosomal RNA". It matches the Rfam family "Bacterial small subunit ribosomal RNA", at positions 524 to 729 of the family's 1533-position model. The record is from RNAcentral.
UACGAAGGGGGCUAGCGUUGCUCGGAAUCACUGGGCGUAAAGGGUGCGUAGGCGGGUCUUUAAGUCAGGGGGUGAAAUCCCUGGAGCUCAACUCCAGAACUGCCUUUGAUACUGAGGAUCUUGAGUUCGGGAGAGGUGAGUGGAACUGCGAGUGUAGAGGUGAAAUGCGUAGAUAUCAGGAGGAACACCGGUGGCGAAGGCGGUUCUC